UCCUUGGUGCCUCAGUGGUAAAGAAUCUGCCUGCAACGUAGGAGACUCAGGUUCGAUCCCUGGGUCAGGAA
This 71-nucleotide transfer RNA is filed under the name Ovis aries (sheep). It matches the Rfam family "tRNA". Rfam says of the family: Transfer RNA (tRNA) molecules are approximately 80 nucleotides in length. Their secondary structure includes four short double-helical elements and three loops (D, anti-codon, and T loops). The record is from Rfam by way of RNAcentral. Lineage: Eukaryota; Metazoa; Chordata; Mammalia; Artiodactyla; Bovidae.